Molecule: unclassified non-coding RNA, 307 nt
Filed under: uncultured fungus
Lineage: Eukaryota; Fungi
Description: partial contains small subunit ribosomal RNA, internal transcribed spacer 1, and 5.8S ribosomal RNA
Rfam family: Eukaryotic small subunit ribosomal RNA (bases 1-73)
Source: RNAcentral
GCAAACUUGGUCAUUUAGAGGAAGUAAAAGUCGUAACAAGGUUUCCGUAGGUGAACCUGCGGAAGGAUCAUUAAUUAAGACGAUGCCCUUCUUAGGGAACUCCUCCCGGCAUUGCCGGGUGCAUUUACCUCUCCUUGUGAAUAAACUUAUUUGCUUUGGUAGCAUCCCAUGGUUGGGUUAUUAGUCUACCGCUGGCUUACAAUAAAAUAUUAUGAUAUUCUGUGAGAUGUCUGAAAACAAAAAGUAAAAAUUUUAUAAAACUUUCAGCAACGGAUCUCUUGGUUCUCGCAUCGAUGAAGAACGCAGC